RNAcentral lists this ribosomal RNA (939 nucleotides) under Mycolicibacterium mucogenicum. RNAcentral describes it as "partial 16S ribosomal RNA". It matches the Rfam family "Bacterial small subunit ribosomal RNA", at positions 92 to 1048 of the family's 1533-position model. The record is from RNAcentral. Lineage: Bacteria; Bacillati; Actinomycetota; Actinomycetes; Mycobacteriales; Mycobacteriaceae.
CGAGUGGCGAACGGGUGAGUAACACGUGGGUGAUCUGCCCUGCACUUUGGGAUAAGCCUGGGAAACUGGGUCUAAUACCGAAUAGGACCACGCGCUUCAUGGUGUGUGGUGGAAAGCUUUUGCGGUGUGGGAUGGGCCCGCGGCCUAUCAGCUUGUUGGUGGGGUAAUGGCCUACCAAGGCGACGACGGGUAGCCGGCCUGAGAGGGUGACCGGCCACACUGGGACUGAGAUACGGCCCAGACUCCUACGGGAGGCAGCAGUGGGGAAUAUUGCACAAUGGGCGCAAGCCUGAUGCAGCGACGCCGCGUGAGGGAUGACGGCCUUCGGGUUGUAAACCUCUUUCAAUAGGGACGAAGCGCAAGUGACGGUACCUAUAGAAGAAGCACCGGCCAACUACGUGCCAGCAGCCGCGGUAAUACGUAGGGUGCGAGCGUUGUCCGGAAUUACUGGGCGUAAAGAGCUCGUAGGUGGUUUGUCGCGUUGUUCGUGAAAACUCACAGCUUAACUGUGGGCGUGCGGGCGAUACGGGCAGACUAGAGUACUGCAGGGGAGACUGGAAUUCCUGGUGUAGCGGUGGAAUGCGCANAUAUCAGGAGGAACACCGGUGGCGAAGGCGGNUCUCUGGGCAGUAACUGACGCUGANGAGCGAAAGCGUGGGGAGCGAACAGGAUUANAUACCCUGGUAGUCCACGCCGUAAACGGUGGGUACUANGUGUGGGUUCCUUCCUUGGGAUCCGUGCCGUANCUAACGCAUUAAGUANCCCGCCNGGGGAGUACGGNCGCAAGGCUAAAACUCAAAGGAAUUGACGGGGGCCCGCACAAGCGGCGGANCAUGUGNANUANUUCNAUGCAACGCGAANAACCUUANCUGGGUUUGACAUGCACANACNCCNGCANANAUGUNNNUUCCCUUNUGGCCUGUGUGNAGUGGNGCAUGG